CACGUAGGGGGCAAGCGUUGUCCGGAUUUAUUGGGCGUAAAGAGCUCGUAGGCGGCUCGGUAAGUCGGGUGUGAAAACUCAGGGCUCAACCCUGAGACGCCACUCGAUACUGCUGUGGCUUGAGUCCGGUAGGGGAGCGUGGAAUUCCUGGUGUAGCGGUGAAAUGCGCAGAUAUCAGGAGGAACACCGGUGGCGAAGGCGGCGCUCUGGGCCGGUACUGACGCUGAGGAGCGAAAGCGUGGGGAGCAAACAGG
This 254-nucleotide ribosomal RNA is filed under the name uncultured bacterium. Its description in RNAcentral is "partial 16S ribosomal RNA". It matches the Rfam family "Bacterial small subunit ribosomal RNA", at positions 524 to 776 of the family's 1533-position model. The record is from RNAcentral.